RNAcentral lists this ribosomal RNA (568 nucleotides) under uncultured bacterium. Its description in RNAcentral is "bacterial SSU rRNA". It matches the Rfam family "Bacterial small subunit ribosomal RNA", at positions 338 to 916 of the family's 1533-position model. The record is from RNAcentral.
CCUACGGGAGGCAGCAGUGGGGAAUAUUGCACAAUGGGCGAAAGCCUGAUGCAGCAACGCCGCGUGAGGGACGACGGCCUUCGGGUUGUAAACCUCUUUUAGUAGGGAAGAAGCGAAAGUGACGGUACCUGCAGAAAAAGCACCGGCUAACUACGUGCCAGCAGCCGCGGUAAUACGUAGGGUGCAAGCGUUAUCCGGAAUUAUUGGGCGUAAAGAGCUCGUAGGCGGUUUGUCGCGUCUGCUGUGAAAACUGGGGGCUCAACCCCCAGCCUGCAGUGGGUACGGGCAGACUAGAGUGCGGUAGGGGAGAUUGGAAUUCCUGGUGUAGCGGUGGAAUGCGCAGAUAUCAGGAGGAACACCGAUGGCGAAGGCAGAUCUCUGGGCCGUAACUGACGCUGAGGAGCGAAAGCAUGGGGAGCGAACAGGAUUAGAUACCCUGGUAGUCCAUGCCGUAAACGUUGGGAACUAGAUGUAGGGACCAUUCCACGGUUUCUGUGUCGCAGCUAACGCAUUAAGUUCCCCGCCUGGGGAGUACGGCCGCAAGGCUAAAACUUAAAUGAAUUGACGG